GGGAUCUUGGCUCACAAAUGGGGAUUGUGGUCGGCGAGAGGAUGAGAACCCAGAGUUGAGAUUAGGCCCAACGUGGGUCGAAGGAAGAGGAUCCGAAAGUCGACUGAAUGAGCCUAUCAAAUGGUAUCACCCAAUCGCCGAUUCAGGUCGGCCGCUAAUCGAAAGAAAGAUAAAAAAGAUCGGAAGCAAACCGAGGUGAGUGUUCCGUUUACAGACAGUUUUGAGACAGAUUGAUCAUGGGCC
RNAcentral lists this long non-coding RNA (243 nucleotides) under Elaeis guineensis (African oil palm). Its description in RNAcentral is "long non-coding RNA (EGUI_LNC019300)". The record is from RNAcentral. Lineage: Eukaryota; Viridiplantae; Streptophyta; Magnoliopsida; Arecales; Arecaceae.